This 253-nucleotide ribosomal RNA is filed under the name uncultured bacterium. RNAcentral's name for it is "partial 16S ribosomal RNA". It matches the Rfam family "Bacterial small subunit ribosomal RNA", at positions 524 to 776 of the family's 1533-position model. The record is from RNAcentral.
UACGGAGGUGGCAAGCGUUGCUCGGAAUCACUGGGCGUAAAGGGUGCGUAGGCGGGGAGGUAAGUCGGGUGUGAAAUCCCUCGGCCCAACCGAGGAACUGCGCCCGAGACUGCUUCUCUUGAGUCCCGGAGAGGAAGAUGGAAUUCCCGGUGUAGCGGUGAAAUGUGUAGAGAUCGGGAGGAACACCGGUGGCGAAGGCGGUCUUCUGGACGGUGACUGACGCUGAGGCGCGAAAGCGUGGGGAGCGAACAGG